UGCCGCUCUUCCGGUCGGUGAUCUCGGCCGCCGCGAGAGACAAAAGCGAACGGAAGGCGGAAAAAAAAAGAAGAAACUUCCUAAAGUGGGGUUAGCGGUAUAGACGCUUUUGCAAUUAAUUAGACCAGAGGUGAUGACAUUGAGAUAAGAAGUUCUUUGGAAAACGGCCAACGAGAAAAACGGACGCAGCAAGCGGGACUGUGCGUGGAAAGGAACUAUUGCAGCCACCACACCCCGUGAACGGGAGCUGUGGAGAACCCUGCAGGAUUCGCCACGGCGGUGAGCGAACGGCUCCGGGCGCCAUUAGAGAAGAACAAAGACCCCGGGAGACGCGCACACAGCCCGGGCUGCCGGGAAACUUUACGUUAUCUCUCAAGGCUAUUAACUGUUUUACACAACCAUGAGAAAACCAGAAGAGCUGUCAGAAUCUUGCAUUUUCAGCAUGCAUAGCAAGAUGCCUAGGAGCAUCAGACACAUGGAGGAGACCAACUUAGAAAGAUACUCAUGCUUGGACUCCAUUUGAAGAUAUUCUUGAAAUUAGUAAAGGGAGGUUUUGGCAGAGAAACUGAAAAACUCCUGGGGAAUGGGGAGGAGACAUCUCUGGGAUGUGAAGGAUGAACUGGAGGUUGCUGGAGCUGAGAGCUCCUUCUUUCACCAUCGUCCCAACAUCACCCAGGAGCAGCCCUCCAUGGGUAGGCAGUGUUCUAGGUGCUGAGUAACAGCAGAGAAUGAGAUGGACAAAAAUCUGUCCCUUCAUAAGAGUCUGCUUUACAGAGACAAUUAACAAGUAAGUUAAAAUUCCCGACAUUUCAAAUGCGCUUGUCCAGAAAGCAGUGACUUACAUAGCCCUAAAGUAUCCAUGGAGAGACUGAGCAGA
Talpa occidentalis (Iberian mole) is the source of this 877-nucleotide long non-coding RNA. RefSeq lists it as uncharacterized. NCBI's taxonomy places the organism in Eukaryota, Metazoa, Chordata, Mammalia, Eulipotyphla, Talpidae. The transcript is spliced from 7 exons. The record is from RefSeq and is a predicted model, not a curated record.